RNAcentral lists this ribosomal RNA (440 nucleotides) under uncultured bacterium. Its description in RNAcentral is "bacterial SSU rRNA". It matches the Rfam family "Bacterial small subunit ribosomal RNA", at positions 338 to 770 of the family's 1533-position model. The record is from RNAcentral.
CCUACGGGAGGCUGCAGUAGGGAAUCUUCCACAAUGGACGAAAGUCUGAUGGAGCAACGCCGCGUGAGCGAAGAAGGUUUUCGGAUCGUAAAGCUCUGUUGCGAGGGAAGAACAAGUACGGGAGUAACUGCCCGUACCUUGACGGUACCUCGUCAGAAAGCCACGGCUAACUACGUGCCAGCAGCCGCGGUAAUACGUAGGUGGCAAGCGUUGUCCGGAAUUAUUGGGCGUAAAGCGCGCGCAGGCGGUCCUUUAAGUCUGAUGUGAAAGCCCACGGCUCAACCGUGGAGGGUCAUUGGAAACUGGAGGACUUGAGUACAGAAGAGGAAAGCGGAAUUCCACGUGUAGCGGUGAAAUGCGUAGAGAUGUGGAGGAACACCAGUGGCGAAGGCGGCUUUCUGGUCUGUAACUGACGCUGAGGCGCGAAAGCGUGGGGAGCA